GUGCAAGAUUUGCAUCGUCGAAGGAUCAAACUACGUGCAUAGGACGCCCGAGCACUGCAGCUCGUCUCUAGCCUCAACACAAGCACGAGCCCAUGCAAGAAAUGUAUCAUCGACCGGAUCCAAACUCCUCGCAACAGGGAGUGCGCAUAAGCUUCCGCGACACGAGCUCAGGCAAUACAAUUGAAUGACAUGCCCUCGCAGUGCAACAUCUGCCUAAUAACACGCCCAAGCUCGGAGAUCAUCUCCAGCCUUAACAUAAGCAUACGUCCGUGCAAGAACUGCAUCGUCGGCAAGAUACGAGCUUGUGUGCCCAUGCGAGGCAGAUCCAAGAAUGUGUGCCUCGGCCGAAGGGGACGGCGCCUCAUGCGUCGGCAUGCUGCAAGG
Molecule: long non-coding RNA, 384 nt
Filed under: Ricinus communis (castor bean)
Lineage: Eukaryota; Viridiplantae; Streptophyta; Magnoliopsida; Malpighiales; Euphorbiaceae
Description: long non-coding RNA (RCOM_LNC003733)
Source: RNAcentral